This 266-nucleotide long non-coding RNA is filed under the name Bos taurus (domestic cattle). RNAcentral describes it as "long non-coding RNA NONBTAT023990". Lineage: Eukaryota; Metazoa; Chordata; Mammalia; Artiodactyla; Bovidae. The record is from RNAcentral.
GAAACUGCUAAAAUGAUUUAUUGAUUUAUUUUCUCAGUGAUUUUAUAUUCCUUGAUAUGUCAUUGUAGCAGCUCUAUUAGUUUAUUUUGAUAUUAGAAUACAUUUUGCUGAUUUGAUUUGCAUUUGAUUUACAUGACUAUUCCUGCUGCUAAAUAAUAUUUUCAGAUCACAUGGGGAACUCAUUUAUAGAGGAGAGGCUGCAGCUGAAUUUCAAUUGGUAAGUUGGGAGGGGGCUUCAGCCCAUAAAUAUGAACAUAAACCUUGCC